RNAcentral lists this ribosomal RNA (439 nucleotides) under uncultured bacterium. Its description in RNAcentral is "partial 16S ribosomal RNA". It matches the Rfam family "Bacterial small subunit ribosomal RNA", at positions 339 to 795 of the family's 1533-position model. The record is from RNAcentral.
CUACGGGAGGCUGCAGUGAGGAAUAUUGCACAAUGGGGGAGACCCUGAUGCAGCAACGCCGCGUGGAGGAUGACGCAUUUCGGUGUGUAAACUCCUUUUAUGUGUCAAGAAAAUGACGGUAGCACAUGAAUAAGCACCGGCUAACUCCGUGCCAGCAGCCGCGGUAAUACGGAGGGUGCAAGCGUUACUCGGAAUCACUGGGCGUAAAGGACGCGUAGGCGGGCUUGUAAGUCAGGUGUGAAAUCCUACAGCUUAACUGUAGAACUGCACUUGAAACUACGAGCCUAGAGUAUGGGAGGGGCAGAUGGAAUUAGUGGUGUAGGGGUAAAAUCCGUAGAUAUCACUAGGAAUACCGAAAGCGAAGGCGAUCUGCUGGAACAUUACUGACGCUAAGGCGUGAAAGCGUGGGGAGCAAACGGGAUUAGAUACCCGCGUAGUC